CCGUUUCGAUUUGUUGCGGACAAAUAAAGUGAAUAUGGGCAUCAAUUCCUCCUGCGGUGACAAUUUUCCCCUCCGCUGCAAUAAUUUCUGUCGCUGCUCCGAUGAUUAUAUUGACUCCAUCCAUUAACAACGGAUUGCCCGCUUUCCCGAUGGCAGCAAUCUUCCCGUCUUUAAUCCCUAUAUCGGCUUUAUAGAUUCCGGUAUAGUCUACAAUAAUCGCGUUCGUCAGCACUAAAUCUACCGAUUCCGCACGCUUGGCAAGCGGGUGUUGCCCCAUUCCAUCACGA
The sequence is a small RNA, 287 nucleotides long. It matches the Rfam family "5' ureB small RNA". The record is from Rfam.